This 455-nucleotide ribosomal RNA is filed under the name uncultured organism. RNAcentral's name for it is "partial 16S ribosomal RNA". It matches the Rfam family "Bacterial small subunit ribosomal RNA", at positions 330 to 801 of the family's 1533-position model. The record is from RNAcentral.
CGUACACUCCUGCGGGAGGCAGCAGUGGGGAAUAUUGGACAAUGGGCGCAAGCCUGAUCCAGCCAUGCCGCGUGAGUGAUGAAGGCCCUAGGGUUGUAAAGCUCUUUCACCGGUGAAGAUAAUGACGGUAACCGGAGAAGAAGCCCCGGCUAACUUCGUGCCAGCAGCCGCGGUAAUACGAAGGGGGCUAGCGUUGUUCGGAUUUACUGGGCGUAAAGCGCACGUAGGCGGACUAUUAAGUCAGGGGUGAAAUCCCGGGGCUCAACCCCGGAACUGCCUUUGAUACUGGUAGUCUUGAGUUCGAGAGAGGUGAGUGGAAUUCCGAGUGUAGAGGUGAAAUUCGUAGAUAUUCGGAGGAACACCAGUGGCGAAGGCGGCUCACUGGCUCGAUACUGACGCUGAGGUGCGAAAGCGUGGGGAGCAAACAGGAUUAGAAACCCGUGUAGUCCCAUGAU